UGGCCCCCCAGCUAUUUCUCUUCAAUGAUCUUGACACUAUAAACUUCCACCGUUAAAUCAUUCCUUUUUUAUACUCGACGAUGCCAAUUACUUUCUCAACAACCUUCCCUUUCCUCCUGUUGGUUCUACUCGCAACUUCAAUUUAAAGGAGUUAGAUUUGAUGGGUCAAUGGUGGAUAUCAGUGAACUGGGAAGAUGGAGAACAUGAGGUGAUUGUGGAGAUGAGCAUUACACAUACCUUACCUACGACAUUGACGCUUGAGUACGAGUAUGAGAAGUGAAGGAUUAGAUUUGAUGGGACAAUGGUGGAUAUGGGGGUGAAGUGGGGAACAUGGAGAAUGGUGAGAUGGUUGUGGAGACAAGGAUUACGGAUACCUUGCCUGCAGCACUGACGUUUUGGUGCGGGCUUGAGAGCAUCAAGGAAGCUUUGGAGGAGUUGAAGCUCAAUCCUCCAUCUUCUUCUCAUUGAAUUAUAAGAUUUCAGGUUUUGGAAGACAUGCGAGGUUUAUUGCAAGCAGCAGAUGAAAGGAAGCAAGCUGCAGUUGCUGAGCUAUCUGCUAAACAUCAAAA
Non-coding RNA from Carica papaya (papaya), 569 nucleotides. Lineage: Eukaryota; Viridiplantae; Streptophyta; Magnoliopsida; Brassicales; Caricaceae. The record is from RefSeq and is a predicted model, not a curated record.